UAACCGUUGCUUUGGUGUCCACUCGA
This 26-nucleotide small RNA is filed under the name Bombyx mori (domestic silkworm). RNAcentral's name for it is "piRNA piR-bmo-1624576". Lineage: Eukaryota; Metazoa; Arthropoda; Insecta; Lepidoptera; Bombycidae. The record is from RNAcentral.